UGGGGAAUAUUGCACAAUGGGCGAAAGCCUGAUGCAGCGACGCCGCGUGAGGGACGACGGCCUUCGGGUUAUAAACCUCUUUCAGCAGGGACGAAGCGAAAGUGACUGUACCUGCAGAAGAAGCACCGGCUAACUACGUGCCAGCAGCCGCGGUAAUACGUAGGGUGCAAGCGUUGUCCGGAUUUAUUGGGCGUAAAGAGCUCGUAGGCGGUUUGUCGCGUCGGAUGUGAAAACCUAUGGCUUAACCAUGGGCCUGCAUUGGAUACGGGCAAACUAGAGUUCGGUAGGGGAGACUGGAACUCCUGGUGUAGCGGUGAAAUGCGCAGAUAUCAGGAAGAACACCGGUGGCGAAGGCGGGUCUCUGGGCCGAUACUGACGCUGAGGAGCGAAAGCGUGGGGAGCAAACA
This 407-nucleotide ribosomal RNA is filed under the name uncultured prokaryote. RNAcentral describes it as "bacterial SSU rRNA". It matches the Rfam family "Bacterial small subunit ribosomal RNA", at positions 355 to 774 of the family's 1533-position model. The record is from RNAcentral.